UCAAAGGUAUCUGCUUCAAAUGAGGCUGUUUCUAGAAGUGUGAAGUCGGUGUUCAAAGCUCGGGUGCAGCGGCUUAACUCUUUAGAGGUACUCCAUGAUUUGCUGAGUUUUGGUUAUUGAUAUGUUUUUCCAUGAAUUGAAGAUAUGAGUUCAUGUGUAAGAGGUGAAAUAUGUAUGACUCUUUUGUUCUGAAUUUUCAGUUUUGGGAUUUCCAAGCUCCAUUGAAGAAGUCAGUUGGGCCUCCGAGAAGAUCACCUCUAGAUGGUAAAUUUGAUUGUCAACUUCACCUUUUAUCUACCUUUAUUUUUCUUCUUCUUUUCCUUGAUAUGCAUCCAUUAGUGCACUAACCUUUUUGUUGUUGCUUGAUGGAAAUAAGUUCUGUAUGUGUGGUUCUUUACAAUUGUGCACGUAAUUACAAAAAGUUAUCCCAUAUAAUGAAGUAGAUUUGUUCAGUUAUAUGAGUGAAGUAGAAGUGCUGAAAUUCUUGGCAUUGGUGAUUAUUUGAAAGUUAUUUCUCUUUCUGCCUCUCUUUCUCUUUUUUUUUUUCGGCAGCUUCUUUUCAAUCUUCAAUGCUGCCAGAUUCGUGCUUCAAUGUCUGUAGCUUCUUUUCUACAAGCUUCUUGCUUCCAAUUUUACAUCUUUUCAUUUCUGCAUAAGGUUGCUUCCAUUUUUGCAUUUUUUGCUUUGUCUUUCUUCAUCUAUUCUUUAUGCUUUGCAUCCUUGACAGCUUCUUAAACCUCUUUUUUAUUUUUUUAUAUCUUUAGCUAUUAUUUUCUUCCUUUUUAUGUGUUUCUUUCUGUUUUACUAUAUCUUUAGUUAUAUAUAUAUAUAUAUAUAUAUAUAUAUAUAUAUAUAUAUGUGUGUGUGUGUGUGUGGCCCUUCAAAGCAAAAAACUAAGCAAAACGUUAUUAUAAUCUCAUACAGCAAAAGUAUCAUGUGCAGAGAAUUUGUGGGCUCAAGGUAAGAGCAUUUGUGGGGCUCAGAAUAUUACAGAAAACCUCCAAAAGUGAGAUUUGGGCUCCAAAUUGUCGAACCAAAACUUGAAUACAAAAUUUAGAGUUCUAUUUAAAUGUAGUUCAGGCCUCAGGCCUCACUUUAUUAUUUAAUGCAUGCUUUCUUAUUUAUUGUUUAUUGCUUUGUUGAAUCUGCAAUGCUUUAGUUUUCAUAUAUAUUUUUGUUAGUUCUUUCUUUCUCCUUGACUAUUUUAAUUUGAUUUGUUGAACCUAUAACUAUUACAUAUAUAGUGUUUAGAAAGUUCAUGUUUAUGAGGUUGCUGUCUGUUGUUUGUCUUGAUCAAUUUGACACCGAUUUUACUCAUUAAAUUCUUCAAUUUUCUCUGCUUCAUUUUUAUUUUGAUUUGCUCUAUGAUUCAGGGCUCGGUAACGGGAGGUCCUUCAGCCGGCUGUUAACGAUGGUGGGGAGGGCUGACCUGUAGUGGCGGUUGUAGCAUUAUCGUGUUCCAGCAGGAUCGCGGAUGGCAAAAGGUACAAGUCUUGAAGAGUUUGAACAAUGUUGUUAAUAAGAGACAUUAUAGCAGUUAGGGUUUUAGGAGGCGCAGCCUGCCAAUACUUCUUUUAUAACCUUUUUGGCUUAAUAUUUCUUGAUAAUUUUUGGGGUUUUCUUGAUUGAGGGAAUUGUGCUUUAUUUUUUGUAAGGAAUCUUUAGCUAAUUUGUUUCAUCACUCAGAAAAUGGUUUCAUGUUACAGCCUAAUACAUUGAAAAUUUGUUGAUUCUCUCUCCUAGAAUUGUUUCGACUUGAUAAGUUACUAUAUUUUUGUGAUGAUUUUCGCCCCGUCUGCUUGAUUGUUGCCUCAUCUGGAAUUUCGUUGUUAUAGCCUAAUGAAUCUUUAGCUAAUUCUUUCUCCCCGUGUGCUUGAUUUUUGCCUCAUCUGGGAAUUUUCAUUUAAAUUCACCUGAAUUUUACUUCAUUAUAUUCUUAAAUUUUGUCUGCUACAUUUUUAUUGUGAUUUGCUCUGUGAUUAAGGAAUCAUACUUGGAUAGUUUAAAAUGCAGCUUAAAUGUGGCAUCAAUAGUUGAGCUGAGUCAUGGUGGUGCUGAGUUUAUAGGUGGAAUAUGGCGUCCAUGUCUUAGAUACUUAAUGUGGUAUAUACUUUCCACUUUUUGCCUUACUAAUGAUUGAAUAUUGGAUCCUUACUUGCUAUUCACCACUACCUAAGUAGAUCUUUUUGAUUGAUUUAUUAGUUUCAGACCAAUACCAUUUCAUGUUAGUGAAGUGUGAACAGCCCUGCUCCUGAGCUAUGCUUUGUAAUUGAUUAGGAAGAUCAAUAAGCCACUUUUCAUUUUUUCUUAUGGGGAUGCACGUGUCUUGCAACAUGAUAGGGUUGAGAUCUUAAUGGUGGAAUUGAACUACAAUGCUUUCUGAUAUUUUUUCUAUUGUAUACAGUGGUGGAAUGAAUGGCUAUAUCUCCCUUUGUGUUGGGAAUCCUUGCCGUCAUGUCUUCAAAUCAUCGAAUGGAAGACAACAUGAACAAUCAAG
RNAcentral lists this long non-coding RNA (2497 nucleotides) under Salvia miltiorrhiza (redroot sage). RNAcentral describes it as "long non-coding RNA (SMIL_LNC001746)". Lineage: Eukaryota; Viridiplantae; Streptophyta; Magnoliopsida; Lamiales; Lamiaceae. The record is from RNAcentral.